CCUGCACUUAUUUGACGUUACCUACAGAAGAAGCACCGGCUAACUCCGUGCCAGCAGCCGCGGUAAUACGGAGGGUGCGAGCGUUAAUCGGAAUUACUGGGCGUAAAGCGCAUGCAGGCGGCCUGUUAAGUCAGAUGUGAAAGCCCGGGGCUUAACCUCGGAAUUGCAUUUGAAACUGGCAGGCUAGAGUCUUGUAGAGGGGGGUAGGAAUUUCAGGUGUAGCGGUGAAAAUAGCGUAGAGAUCUGAAGGAAUACCAGUGGCGAAGGCGGCCCCCUGGACAAAGACUGACGCUCAGAUGCGAAAGCGUGGGGACGCAAACAGGAUUAGAUACCCCUGGUAG
Molecule: ribosomal RNA, 341 nt
Filed under: uncultured bacterium
Lineage: Bacteria
Description: bacterial SSU rRNA
Rfam family: Bacterial small subunit ribosomal RNA
Source: RNAcentral